UGGUAUAGAAACUUGAUCAGUUUAAAUUAAUAUCCAUUCCCCCUCACUUCAAAAAACCCCUUCUCGGGACACACACCCCGCUACAACAUCAGAACCAGACCAAAUGCAGGAGGAUCCCAAUUCAAAUCCCUCUCAUGUAAAAUCAAAUCCAGAACACAAACACAAACAUAAACAUCCAACAAAACCCCAAAUCUAACCAACACAAACCAAAACCACCAAACCAUUAGCAAGUCAUGAACUUCCAUUAAAUUGAACACAACCAAAUGGAUCCACAACUCCAAUUUCAGUCAACCUCGAAUCAAUUACAAAAGUUGGAACAGCCAGAUAUUUAAAGUAGACUUUGUGAUGAGAAAAAAAACUUAACAUUAUAAGGUAUAAACAUAAUCAAACUGGAAUGGCUACAUACACAAUCUUUUCAGCACACUGACAACUGGAGGCUUAUUCCACCAAUUCAACUGAAGCUGCACUUUUAAUCCUAAUUCCUCAUUUUAAAAUAUGCAAGAUAGACCUUUUCCAAAAUGUUUAUGAGGUAUAAACAUAAUCAAACUGGAAUGGCUACAUACACAAU
RNAcentral lists this long non-coding RNA (568 nucleotides) under Populus trichocarpa (black cottonwood). Its description in RNAcentral is "long non-coding RNA (PTRI_LNC001668)". The record is from RNAcentral. Lineage: Eukaryota; Viridiplantae; Streptophyta; Magnoliopsida; Malpighiales; Salicaceae.